Phoenix dactylifera (date palm) is the source of this 2300-nucleotide RNA transcript. RefSeq lists it as uncharacterized. The record is from RefSeq and is a predicted model, not a curated record. NCBI's taxonomy places the organism in Eukaryota, Viridiplantae, Streptophyta, Magnoliopsida, Arecales, Arecaceae.
CUCCUGCGGGAUCGGUUCAAGAGCCGAUCGAGACGAGCUAUGUGGCUUUCCUAAAAUUUUGGGGUUUUAAAGCGGACUUUCCCGCUCCGGUUCAUCCCUCCACCCGGUUCCCACGGCCUCUGCCCUAAAACACCUGAGAGCAGUCGCUCGGAGGAGACAAGAAGCUUUCCUUCUAUCUUCUACAAAUCCCAGGGGGAUUUCCACUCCGAUCCCCAUCCAUGGAAGCCCACGUGGCUCUCAGCUGCGGCAGGCCAUACCUCGCCGCUCUCUCUUCUUCGAGCCUCCCGAGAUCGGCGCGGCUCCCAAUCUUUCCCAUCGCUUCGUGUCCAUCUAUUGCUCCCAACAAUUUAUGCUGCAGAGCUUCUCUGGCUGCAGAUCCCAGUGUGCCCGUGGCUGAGAUAAAGAAGACCCAUAUUGAAGAGACUGCAGACAUGGAAUCGUUCAGCUUGAUGAAUUUGUCGCCGUUGGAUGGCCGUUAUGUGCAAAAGGUCAAAGAUUUGCGGCCAAUCUUCAGCGAGUAUGGGUUAAUCAGGUAUCGUGUUAUAGUCGAGGUCAAAUGGUUGCUGAAACUUUCUCAAAUUCAGGAAAUCAUAGAAGUCCCAAGCUUUAGCAGCGAUGCUCAAUCUUUCUUGGAAAGAAUAAUUCAUGAAUUUGAUAUAAAUGAGGCCCUAGAAGUGAAAAAAAUUGAAAAAGUGACCAAUCAUGAUGUCAAGGCAGUAGAGUACUUUUUAAAACAGAGGUGUAAGUCCUGUCCAGAGGUAGCAAAGGUGCUUGAGUUUUUUCAUUUUGCCUGUACAUCUGAGGAUAUAAACAACCUAGCCCAUGCAUUGGCAUUGAAAGAGGCUUGCAACACUGUUAUAUUCCCUGUUAUGAUUGAAUUAUGCAAAACUAUACGUGACAUGGCAAAGGAGAAUGCACAUGUCCCUAUGUUGUCUCGCACUCAUGGGCAGCCAGCAUCCCCUACUACUUUGGGAAAGGAAAUGGCAAAUUUUGCUGUUAGACUAAGUGAGCUAGGAAAGACUUUCGCUGAAGUUCGAAUAUUGGGAAAGUUUGCUGGUGCGGUUGGGAACUACAAUGCCCACAAAGUUGCAUAUCCUAAUGUCAACUGGCCAAGAGUAGCAGCAGAGUUUGUGAGAUCUUUGGGAAUAAAUUUCAACCCUUAUGUAACACAGAUCGAGCCUCAUGACUAUAUUGCAAAGCUUUUCAAUGCAGUCACCCAGUUCAACAACAUUUUGCUUGAUUUUGACAGAGACAUUUGGAGCUACAUAUCAUUGGGUUACUUUAAGCAGAUAACUAAGGCUGGUGAAAUUGGUUCCUCCACUAUGCCUCAUAAAGUCAAUCCUAUUGAUUUUGAAAAUAGCGAGGGUAAUCUAUGUUUGGCUAAUGCUGUUUUAUCUGCCCUUAGCAUGAAGUUACCCAUUUCACGCAUGCAGCGGGACCUUACCGAUUCAACUGUCUUGAGGAAUUUGGGUGUUGGCCUAGGGUAUUCUCUCUUGGCUUAUAGAAGUUCACUACAGGGAAUUAAAAAGCUACAGGUGAACGAAUUUCGACUAAAUCAAGACUUGGAGCAGACAUGGGAGGUCCUUGCUGAACCAAUACAAACGGUUAUGAGGCGGCAUGCUGUUCCCGAACCAUAUGAGAAGCUGAAGGAGUUGACAAGAGGAAGGGAUGUUACCAAGGAGAGCAUAAGAGAGUUCACUGAAGGUCUGGAUUUGCCCCAGGAGACCAAGUCACUUCUUUUGGAUUUGGCUCCUCAGUCCUAUCUUGGAGAAGCAGAGAAUUUAGCUAAAGUGAUCGACGAUGCUGUGGACUUAGAGAAUGGAUUUAAGCUUCUAUAGAUCAGUAUCGUUGGAUGUUACUGUAGUCCUUGACUUCAAUAAAGGAGCCAGGCUGGUAUUCACAAUCUACCCUGCAACCAUAGGUGAAUCUUUUCGGUCUGUUUUUCUUCUUAAACUGAGAAUGUCAACACAAAGAAACAAUCACGAGCUGCAAGCAAAUUGCUAAGCUUCUACUGCAUGGAGAUGGAGGACCGUGUGUUGAGCGUCGAUUCCCAAAUUCGAAUCACCAUUCCGUGUGGGCCCGCGGACACUCGGCGCGCAAAAUCAAUGGCAUCAAUCACUGACCCAAAAAAAAAUAAAAAAAGAACUGGUGAUACGAACAGCUUCAAAACAAGACAAGAAAUGUGGGGGCAACAAAGCAAAAAAAAAAAAAAAAAAAUCCCAUCUAACACAUCAAUCACUGGGCGUUGGUCUUGUAGCAAAGAUUUUUGUUAUACGAUCUCAAAGUCUAGGGUUUGAGAU